Molecule: ribosomal RNA, 468 nt
Filed under: uncultured bacterium
Lineage: Bacteria
Description: partial 16S ribosomal RNA
Rfam family: Bacterial small subunit ribosomal RNA
Source: RNAcentral
GACGAACGCUGGCGGCGUGCUUAACACAUGCAAGUCGAACGGAAAGGCCCUGCUUUUGUGGGGUGCUCGAGUGGCGAACGGGUGAGUAACACGUGAGUAACCUGCCCUUGACUUUGGGAUAACUUCAGGAAACUGGGGCUAAUACCGGAUAGGAGCUCCUGCUGCAUUGUGGGGGUUGGAAAGUUUCGGCGGUUGGGGAUGGACUCGCGGCUUAUCAGCUUGUUGGUGGGGUAGUGGCUUACCAAGGCUUUGACGGGUAGCCGGCCUGAGAGGGUGACCGGCCACAUUGGGACUGAGAUACGGCCCAGACUCCUAAGGGAGGCAGCAGUGGGGAAUAUUGCACAAUGGGCGGAAGCCUGAUGCAGCAACGCCGUGUGCGGGAUGACGGCCUUCGGGUUGUAAACCGCUUUCGCCUGUGACGAAGCGUGAGUGACGGUAAUGGGUAAAGAAGCACCGGCUAACUACGUG